Non-coding RNA from Oryzias latipes (Japanese medaka), 484 nucleotides. The record is from RefSeq and is a predicted model, not a curated record. Lineage: Eukaryota; Metazoa; Chordata; Actinopteri; Beloniformes; Adrianichthyidae.
CAACCGCAGAAUGAAUGUAAAUUUGUCAUGACUGGCUAGGCAGACCCAGAUGCUGGAACCCGGAAUGAUGACAGGAGGUGAGUUAUGGCAAGAAGUGGGUUUAUUGAUUCAGCUGGUGAUGUAAUCUUGGUAUGGCAGGGAGGCGACGUGGCUGGAGGGAGUCCGGGGAUCUGAACACCAGACGAGGACAGGAGGUACCGCCGGACCGUGGCGUGAGACGUGGCUUGAUGUUCGACCAAAGGCUCCACUGAGAAGUUUCAGAGGGACGCACCUUCAGAAGGUCAUCGAGGAGCAGGCGAUGGGAAGGUUAACCAAGGAGAUUUGUAGAUGAGUGAUAUAUAUCAUCGCUUUGGAGUCUGCAACACAUCAUUGCAGAAAGGAAGUCCUUUUGUCCUGAUGAAGGCUAUGGAGAGGAUCAUCCUCAGCCAUCUCCGCACUCAGGUGAGCUCAGCACUGGACCCGCUGCUGUUUGCAUAUCGACGAG